RNAcentral lists this long non-coding RNA (277 nucleotides) under Monodelphis domestica (gray short-tailed opossum). Its description in RNAcentral is "lncRNA (ENSMODG00000031673.2)". Lineage: Eukaryota; Metazoa; Chordata; Mammalia; Didelphimorphia; Didelphidae. The record is from RNAcentral.
CAGCCCACCUCGCUUCCCCCAGUAAUGAGUAGCAGGUGCCUCUCUAUGGAUCUAUGCCAUCAUUGCUGACCUCAAGUCGUUUCAAAGGAAACACAUGCUUACCAGUUGUUACGUUCUAAUUGAGCCAGCAGAGGAACUUUUCCUUCUCUCUGAGUAAAUGUAGAAGGGCUGGUGUCUUAGGAGCACUCUUGACAUAAGUGACUACAUCUGAAUUUGGAACAAGCAUAAACUCUGCAAGUCUCUAAGACUGUAAAAACCAAAGUGGACACAUUUGGUA